RNAcentral lists this ribosomal RNA (490 nucleotides) under uncultured Sphingobacteriales bacterium. RNAcentral's name for it is "bacterial SSU rRNA". It matches the Rfam family "Bacterial small subunit ribosomal RNA", at positions 891 to 1382 of the family's 1533-position model. The record is from RNAcentral. Lineage: Bacteria; Pseudomonadati; Bacteroidota; Sphingobacteriia; Sphingobacteriales.
GCUCAGAAACUCAAAGGAAUUGACGGGGCCCGCACAAGCGGAGGAGCAUGUGGUUUAAUUCGAUGAUACGCGAGGAACCUUACCUGGGCUCGAACGUAAGAUGACUGUAGGUGAAAGCUUACAUCUCUUCGGAGCAUUUUACGAGGUGCUGCAUGGUUGUCGUCAGCUCGUGCCGUGAGGUGUCGGGUUAAGUCCCAUAACGAGCGCAACCCCUACCUUUAGUUGCCAUCAGGUUAAGCUGGGGACUCUAAAGGAACUGCCUACGCAAGUAGUGAGGAAGGCGGGGAUGACGUCAAAUCAGCACGGCCCUUACGUCCAGGGCUACACACGUGCUACAAUGGCCGAUACAGAGGGCAGCUACCUGGUGACAGGAUGCAAAUCUCCAAAGUCGGUCUCAGUUCGGAUCGGAGUCUGCAACCCGACUCCGUGAAGUUGGAUUCGCUAGUAAUCGCGCAUCAGCCAUGGCGCGGUGAAUACGUUCCCGGGCCUU